GACGAACGCUGGCGGCGUGCUUAACACAUGCAAGUCGAACGGAAAGGCCUGCUUUCCCUUGUGGAUUGCGGGUACUCGAGUGGCGAACGGGUGAGUAACACGUGAGUGAUCUGCCCCCAACUUGGGUAUAAGCCUGGUAAACUGGGUCUAAUUCCCGAUAGGACUGCAGGGUGGUGCCUGUGGUGGAAAACGUUUUUCUAGUGGUUGGGGAUGAGCUCGCGGCCUAGCAGCUUGCUGGUGGGGUAAUGGCCGACCAAGGCGGCGACUGGUAGGCUGCGUGGGAGGAGGGAGGGUGACAGUGGGACUGGGAAACAGGCCAGAGUGCUACGGGAGGCAGCAGUGGGGGAUGUAGCAGAAUGGACGGAAGGCUGAUGGAGCGAGGGUGCGUGGGAGAUGACGUGUGUGGGGUAGUAAGCUUCUCGCGACCGAGAGGAAGCCACGUGGUUGGGAGGGUAGUGACGGUAGUAGUAGAAGAAGCAACGGCUAACUACGUG
RNAcentral lists this ribosomal RNA (494 nucleotides) under uncultured bacterium. Its description in RNAcentral is "partial 16S ribosomal RNA". It matches the Rfam family "Bacterial small subunit ribosomal RNA", at positions 28 to 507 of the family's 1533-position model. The record is from RNAcentral.